CUGCGUCUCCCGCCCCGCCCCGCCCCGCCCCGCGCGGCGCUCCGAGGGAGCGGGGCUGAGGGCGGGGGGGAAGCGGAGCUGCAAGGAGGGGAGAGGAAAAAAAGCGGCCUUGCGAGCCAGGAGGAGCUGCUCAGCGGCGACUGAAGCAGUAGAGAGCGUGGAGAGACAGCAACGGGGAGAGGGGGACAGCAAGGGAGCAGGAAGAAGUUGUCUCCCCCUUGAAAAAGGAUUCAUCCCCUGACUCUAAAUGGUUGAUAACUUCUUUUCUAAGGAAAAUGCAUUCUUUAUAUCUUCUGGAGUUUGAGUUCAAUUUGAUGAAUACAUUGCAGUAUGUUACUUGCCUCUGACUACAUCUUUAAAACCUUGUUUGAAUGGAUUUUUCGAUGAACCAGCCACCGAAACUCACAAAUAUGGUAGUUUGCUUCCAAAUCUCAAGAGUCCAUGAUAUUGCAAGUGUAUGAAAAGGAAAGAAACAUACAGCCACAUCAAAGCAAGUCUUACCUGGCUUAUGCACCUGUUGUGUGAACUACAAGUCAUCUUAUCAUGAAAGUAUAAGAGAAGUAUUAUUUACCAUGUGUAAACAAAAUCUACAGACGUGAAACUGUCCCCUAGAGAUAACUGGAGGCUCAAAAACUAUAGCACUACCUGAAGAUUUUUGCAGAUCUCUUCUGUGCAGCUUCUUCUUAUCUGUGGAAAAUGAAGGUUCAUGCCACAACUCAUUUUACUUCAGGAGUUUUGUAGCAAUGAACUGUGACCAAAAAUGAUGGGAGAAAAAAAGACCAGUAUGUUGGCUUGAACCAAGAAACCUCUUCUGGAGUUUUAAUGUCUCCUUAAAUCAGCUCAGAACAGAGAUGUCUUACAGAGAAGAGUCUACCGGUUUUUUAAGCCUUCCAAAAAGCAGAACACACAAGUUAAUACAUCAGCCAAAGGGGAUCACCCUGCCUGACAGAACACAGGAUUAUGAGGAUACAGGUGACCACAUGCCUACAUUUGACAAAGACCUUAAUGGGGGAACACCUUCUGUUCUCAGACCCAGAGAGUGACAGUCAAUGGAACGAGUCAACAUGGCACGUAGUGACCAAUGGCAUCCCUCAGGGUUCAGUUGUUGGACCAAUCCCAAAUCCUUCAGAGAAUGCAAUAAAUCCAUAUGAUGUCCAUGAAACUGUGCAUUUGGAUCUUCUAUUGGCUGACAGAUAUUUAAAAUCACAUGAAGACAGACAGCUCCCCACUGAUUCCGCAUCUGAGAAGGUUCUUAAGCAAUAUUUUAAUUAAGGAGCACCAGGGAAAAAGGGACAGUUCGCUGGACCCACCACUGAGGGCUCUCCGGUGUCCAGGGAUUCUGGUUGUCUGGCUCAGGUGUCUGCUGAAAGGCACAUAGAAAGGCUACUCAUGCCUCUUGUGGACACCCAUGCUGCAGGUUGGCCACUCCUGGGCUAAUAGGUGAAGAACAGGAGCCAGGGGACAUGUGUGACAGAGCAGCUUUAAGGGCUGGAACAGGCAGCCACCAGGUGGUUGAUGAGGGCAGCCAUUUUACAGCCCAGCUCUCCUGGCUAUGGGGAGCAGUUUGUGAUCAGUAGUCCUGGGAGUAACAUUGCCCGAGUUCCUGCAACUCCUGCUCCAGGAACAUCUCGGAGCCAAAACAAUAGAAGCCAUCUCUGAAAAUGCAGAUCUGCUGAACAGAAGCUGUCAUAAGGCCUAAGGAUUUUUCUAAGGACUGAUAUAGCUAAUGUAGGAACUAGUGUUGCUUGUUAGAGCUGUACACUCAAAAGAAUCAUGAAAAAACCACUAAACAAACAGGGGUAUGAUCUCUGAGUAUUGGGAACACUUUGGUGUGAAAAACUGAGAAUGAUUUCGAGGUAAGUGCUGACUGGGAAAGGGCUUGGAAAUGUGAGCAAAGAUAUCAUCUUCAUGUGUUUGAUUCUGUCUUUGGGUCAUUUUAAUCAUUUAGCUUUUCCCAUUGCAUAAUACAGGUAGUUGAAUUGUACUUAGUAAUUCUUGCAUUGAGCCUGCUAACUUGUGCUUAAACUAACAUUUAUAUUUUAGGACGACAUUCUCUACCGCAAACUCAUUAUAUUCACAGCAAGAAAAAGUGACUCUGAUUAUAUAAAUAGUCUCGUGAUAGCAUCUCUUUCCCAUAAAAGCAAAUGUGAGAGACUUUUUAAAAAUAUGCUCCUAGUUAACCUUUCAAGCCAGUUUCCCUAUUGUCCAAGAAAACAGCUUUUCUGUCUUUUUUUUGUUCUAAGCCUGACAUGUUUUCUCUGUUUUCUGUGGCUAGGUACAGAUGUUCAGGAAGGUUAGCUUGCAUUAAACAUGGCCACCUGAUCUAACUUAGUUUGCCCAGGUGUGGGCCUUAUACUUAGUUCCCUAGUUAGGUCAAUUGAAGCAAGAACUAUACAGAAGUUCAGGAAGGUUGGUCUAAAAAUGGCUGACCUGAUCUAAUUUAACCCUACAUCAGAGGUAGUCUGACUUAGAUUGGGUCCAGUGAGACCAAACUAAUUGAACUUCUGGUACAGUUCCCAGCACAGCUCCAGGGCAGGAAAAGCCCAGUUACUGGCUAUGCUUUUCCUACCACCUGCCUGGCACCAGGCUAUUUUUCUCUUCCCAGCCUCUUACCCCACCCCCAGAUGGACAACUGUGAAAUAGCCAGUUCCACCCAAGCCCGCUAAACCUCCCAUUCUGCAAGCUGCUUCUGGUGCUGGUUUUACCAGUGUUCACUGGUGCGAGGAGCCCUCCCUGCAGAACUGCCAGCCCCUCCCAUCCAUCUGCUCCUCCCUUCACCCCAACUUACUUCAAACAGGCUUCCAGAACCAGUGAGCACUAGUAAAACUAGCCCUGGGAGCAGUCUGAGGUAUUGGGGGAAGCUCGCUGGCAUCAAGGGGGAGCUGAGGAUCUGAGGGGAUUUGGGAGGGUUGGAAAGCCUCUCUGAUUCUGCUAACCUCUCCCCACCUCCACUCCCAACUCUGCUAGGCCUGCCUCCCCCCCAAUCCCACUAAACCAUCCUGGACCCCACCAACUCCCUGCCCUGUGGACUCCUCAAGCUCCCCUGCUACCCCUCUCUCCCUCCCCCCACAACAUCCCAAUGUACCUUAGAUGAAGUGGCCAUUUUUAACUAGAUCUAACCUCCCUGAAUGUCUGUAUGCAUCUUGCAUGUCGUUUCACAGUAUCUGAUAAAGUGAGCUUCAGCUCACAAAAGCUUGGACUACCCACACCCACACCAUACCAUAUACCACACCACACACUUUAGGUGCAAAUCUAUGCUAUCUUCUACAAGUUUUCUGUGGUCAAACAAGUGUUACAGCUAUCUACUUUUGACCUCACACUGAUCUAAGCCAAGCAACAUACUGAGUGGUGAAGUGCAGUAUAUGUCCAUAUUGCAUUAACAGAACAAGCCCCUCUGCUAUUCUGACCAUGCUACCUGAAAAUAUAAAUUAAGAAGCAUCAUGAAGAAUUUUCAAAAUGAUACUACUGGAAACCAAGACACUAAUUAUUUAUUUUAAGUCAAGCCAAGCAGGAAAGACAUUGACUGGUAUAAGCUAGACCUAGAAAUGCUGGGCAUGAAAUGAGUCUUUUUACUGUAAAAUUGACCAUCUACCCUAUUGGCUUUAGUUCCCUAGAACUUUGGCUCCCAGUUGCUUAUAGGCAACACAAAUAUUUGUAUCAAAUUCACUUGCCUCUAUAGGAAGUAGGACUUUAUUAGUGCAACAUUCUUUCUCAUAAUGAGGGUCCAAUUGAUACUCGGUUAUAGGAGCAAUAAUUCUAGUUUUUUCCCCCCAAACUACUACUUCACCUUCCUCACUUGUCCAGUUUCACAGCUGAGAAAUAUUUAAGGUGAACAAACUUGGCAAGGUCAGGGGGAAAAGACUGAAACCAGUUUUUAAAGGGGGAAGAAAUCAAUAAGUGUUCUCCCUGUUGGCACUUGCUUUUUUGAAAUGGAAGUCCCAAAUUCCCUCAGCUGCUGUCCUUGCACUAACAACAAUAUUGGGGCUGCUUAAGAUUUAUAGGGGUGUCAUGUUUAAUAUUCUUCUUUGUCAAGAAUUUUUUUUCCUCAUGUCAGGCAAUGAAAUUAAGCCUUCUGUGAACCUGAAUACUAUAGACAUAAAAAACCUAAAGAGAAAAAAACCCCCACCACAAAACUAUAAGCAACAGCAUAAUAGUAGCAAGAUCUUCAGCUUGUGUCUAUCAGCAGUGGUCCACUAAAGUAAUAGGACUACAAUGCCAGAUGAGAAACUAGACCUAAAUCUUCUAGUUUAAAUUACUGUUUCUUUACUAAUGAGAUCCUCCCUCACUUGGUAGAAGGGCCCAACCCUUGCCUGCACAGUGAAGGCUCCUAUUUCUUCCCUCUCAGCCAUCAUUGGCAAUCAUGAACUUAUCCAUCAGUGGCAAGGCAUAGGGGGUGCAUGAGGGCGCACAUGCACCCCCUGAGAGUGCUGGUGCACCCCCUGUCAGGCCGUGUUCCCAGUGCCCUGCUGUGAAUGCUGGCCAGAGAGUGGGAGUGCUGGAUGAAGCGCUGUGGCCACUUCCGUGAGCACUGUGGCCGCUUCCUGGUUGGUACGAUCGGCCGUGGGGGACACCCGCCCCCGCAGUUGGCAAGAUUGUCUGUGGGGGGAACCCCCCCCAAUUGCUGACUGGUCGCUGGGGGGGCAUGUGCCCCACCCAACUAUGGUGGCACCAGUCGCCCAUGCUAUUGGUCACAGCCCCAGUAGGUGCACCACUUGAACUCAUGGCAACCUGCUUGCCUCUGCAUCUAUCAAAGAAAAAAGCCUUCUUGGUAGCCUGAUCUGCAGGAAGGCUGGGGACCUGCCUGACUUUACCAUUUAUACUUUUCCCCCUUCUUCCUGCCUUCCCCUCCUUCUCUGCCCUUUGGCUUCCUAAUUUCCAGCUAUUUACUUUUUCAGACUGUCAUUCUUCUACCUUGGAUAACUCAAUUACAGCAGUCUCCCUUGCUUACCUUUGGCAUUAUUUCCCCCCCCUCGUUCUCCGGUUCCCUCCUUUCUCUACCCAUUGUUUUCCUAAUUUCCACCUAUUUACAUUCUCACUGACAUCCUGUCACACUUUUACCUUCUUUCAUUCCUUAGAGAGCUCAGAACAGCAGAAACUCCCUAUACCUGAAGAAGAGUGUUUGUGUCUAAAAGUUUGCAAAAAACUUUUCCCCAACUACUCAGUUGAUCUAAUAAAAGAUAACACAUCUACACAAAGAACCUUGCCUGCCCAUGUCCUUAGACUAAUACAGCUACAACCAAAAACCCUGGGUUAACCAGGCACUGAUCUAUUUCCCUACAGAAGGCCUUGUGAAGUCCCCUGAAGCUUCUACCCAAAGUUUUUGUGGAACAGUUUAACCUAUUGGUUAUCUUCCCAAAACCUCAGUCGUUGAGACUAGCAAUAUCUUUAUACAUGUUGUAUGUGAAGAGAGCUCUGUCCCUGUACAAAACUAACUUUUCUAACUAACUUCAAAACUAACUAAAUAACUUCAAAACCUCCUGUUCUGUAAGUGCACAGCUGUAGGGUGCUUUGAGUGGCCAAUCACACAACAAGCUGUCACAUCUGUCAGUGCCCUCAUUGUCUAUGUAUGCAACCAUUAUUAAAUCUCUAAUAAAAUUAUAUAUUCAGUUUUAUUAAUAUUUUCACUUCCUAAUUAUAUCUAUCACCAGCAUUUUCUCUUAUGAAGACAUGAACCAUUUAACACAUACAUAUUUAUUGGUGACAUUAGCAGCUGAAACUGAGAAUACUUGUUUAAAACAAUUUGCAUAUGUAAAAAUGACUAGAAGUAGCUAGAAAGUAAAUCAAAUAGUGUUAACUGAUGUUGGUUAAUAUGACUAUGGUGAGAUUUUGUUAUUAAGUUUCCAUUUCCUUUUUGCACCCUGAAAUUUACCAGAGGAAUUCAUAUUCUUUAUAAUCUAUGGAUGGAAGAUGAGGAAAUGGGUUGUGGUGCCUUCUGUUUUGGUAUUCACUGUCUGGUUUUCAUUGUUUACUAGCAACAUAAAAAUAGGGGAGAAUUUUACCAAAUCUGUUGUAGUUUUCUGCUAAUCUAAGUAGCUCAUCUGUUCCAAAUGUAUGGUAAGACAUGGGGAAUUUUAUAUGGGAGGAUUCUUCCUCCUAAUGCAAUCAUUGCAUAUAAUUCUCCACUAAAUAAUAUCAGGGAUUAGAUGGAAAACAGUGUCUGUCAUUCAGAGGCAUAGCAAGGCAUUUCUGUGCCUGGGGCAGUCAUGUGGUAUGCAGGACAGUGCCACCUUCUGCCAUGCCAAUUGCAGUGGCACAAUCAAGCACUGCUAUGGCAUCAGCUGCUUUUGAGUCCCCCUCUAUCCUGCCCAUGGCUGCUGCCCCAGUUGCCACCCUUAGUUAUGGUACUGCUGUCAUUUCAGUGUCAGCCACAUGAUUGCAUAGGAGCAAAAAAAUGGACUUUGUGUUGAAAAUUCAUGCAAGACACUGGUUGUUUCUUUCUGAUCUAGUAACUCUUACUAGUUCCGAACAAAACACCAUGACAUAUUUCAAAACUCCAUAAUAGCUGUAAGUUAAAUCCAAUGGUAUAGUGGCAACCAAGCCACAUGUUUUUUUUUAUUUGGAUAAUGUUACAUAAUACUGCUACAUAUAAAAGUAGAGCACUAAAAAACGACAUUAAUUGAAAUUCAGUGGUGGUUUUGUUUUUUUUAUGGUCUUGAUAGCUCUUUUACCAAGUGAUAGCUGGAUUUAGGACCCUUGCAGAGUAGUUUAUACUUGAAUGAGAAAUUGCAGAAUGGUUAGGAGUGAAAUCCUGGCACCAGUGAAUUCAGACACUAAACUCCCAUUGACUUCAGUGGACCAGAAAUUCACCCGAAGUAUUUAUGUAAUUUCAUUAUUUACUUAUUUUUAUUACAAACAGUGGUAGGAAUAACCUUCAUACAGGUAUCCACUCUCUUUUCACAGAUAUCCUAGAUCAGGGGUUCCCAAACUGUGGUACACGUACCCCUGGGGAUAUGCAAGACAUCUCGGAGGCAGGGGGGUGGAGGUACAUGGGAGGAAUUGUGUAAUGGUAGACUUAAUUUUCAUUAUAGUUGGCAUUUAAGGGGUUAAAAUAUGCUGGUAGGGAUACACAGGCAGCUGGUAAAUCUGGAAGUGGGUACGCAAUAAGAAAAAGUUUGGGAACCUCUGUACCGAGAUGAAGCACUUUAUCCCUGUCCCAAGAAGCAUCUAUCUUGUUGCUUUGCUUCUCUCAGACUGUCCUCACUGUGGACAUAGCUAGAGUUAGUUAACCAUCUUGCACUCACUAAGAUUUUAUUUCAAAUUGUUUCAUAGUUACCUGGGUCAAAUCCAAGUACACUUUAAAUUGAAACAUAAAUUUCUAAUAUUAUUUUCAGUAGUAUCUCAGCUCCAUCAAAGGCUAAGAAAAAUUGAGUAAAGACAGCAGGAUUUUGUUGAAUGAGACUAAAUAUAUGAUGAAUGACACCUAAAAUUUACUUAGCUGGUAGACUGAACUACUACUUUUAAUUUGUAAAAAUAUCUAUGAAUUUUUAUUUGAGGCUAGUUCUUUCACCUGUUCAUCAUGAUUAAAGGGAAUCAAGGCCUCUCUUUUUUUAACCGUUAAUUUAGGCCCAGAUUUUCAUGUCCAGCCUAUAGGUUGAUGGGCAGAUGAAGCAAGAGGAUCCUUGUCCAUAAAGUUGGUCUCAGACCAUGCUGUGACUGCUGCUGCCAUAGCUCCCAGAGGCCUAAUAUGUGUUGCCUGGGGGUGAGUGGAUUGAUGAAUGAAGCAGCAAACCCUUUGGCCCUUCCUGAACCCACACUUGCUUUUCCCCUCUUUUUUGGUGGACAUUAAGCUGUUGUGGAGCCUUUAGUGAUGAAAGUUGUAAUUUAAAGACACCAGCUAAUUUAGAGGAAGGUGGUAUUUGGAAGAUGGUCCCUCAGUCAAGUUGCUGUUAGUCAGUUAGUCAGACAGGGUCUUUAGAGGUUGCACACUGCUCCACAAUUAAGGUUUUCUGUUGUUUUUAUUCAUGUAUACCUACAUUUGUCAAGUCUGGUGAUCACUACAUGGUGUCAGAAAUGUCAGAUGAGAGAACUUGAAACAAUUUGAGUUCCGACUGAAGACAAAUUUGGAAACUGAGAUCACAAGUAGAGCAGCACAGCCAUGUAAGCCUCUGUAAGCAAUCUCUCUGCACAGUUAUUGUCUAAGUAAAAGGACAGUGAAUUACAGAAGUUUUGCAACCUCCAUCUGCCCUUCUGUUGUCAAGCUAUACAGCAGAGAGCUGGAGGGGCUUCAGGCAAUGGUUUGAAUGUUACAGAACAGCCACAGGGGCAGAGGAAAACAUGACAACAUCAAAACCUCAAUCUUUUUGCAUAUUGUGGGGGAGGAAGCCCUGGUUGUUUAUAACACCUUUUCCUUUAAAGAGGACAAAAUAUGCAAUUAAGUGUGAUACUGUUCACAUUUGAGGAAUACUGAAUGCCAAAAAAGAAUGAGACCCUUGAAAGACAUGGGAUUUUUUAUGUUCGGACAAACAGGACAAAGUAUAGUUCAGCAUGUUUACUGAACUAAAGAGACUGAUUAAAAACAGUGCUUUUAGGAACUUAACAGCAUCUCUGAUUAGAGAUAAGAUUAUUUGUGGCACUGCAGACACUGCAUUACAAGAGAGACCACUGCGUGAAGGGGAUUUGUCCUUAGAAAAGACUGUGUAAAUGUGUAGUGCAGCAUAAACUGUGAAGGCCCAGCUUGCAGAGCUGAAAGCGCCAAAAGGAAUUAUCCAUGCAGUAGGCCAGAAAGCACAUGGUCAGAAGAAGCCACAUCACAGUGUAGAUUUUUCCACUGGCAAAGAGGCCUCUAAGGGGGAGAGAGCUAAUAAGCUGAUGCAAGGGCUGAUCCAGGGAGGGUGCAAUGGCACCCUUACACCCUAUUUUGAUUUCUCUUCCACCCAAAAUUUAAAACCUGAAAAUGGCAGUAACAUUUUUAGUCAGGCAGUGCUGAGUGCAUGAAAUGACUGAAUUUCAUUGUCAUGUAUGUGAUCUCUUCUAAAAUCUUUAUUCACAGGUGUUAACAACCCUUUCUUCUUCUUAAUGGUUUACAUUUUCCACCAAUCAAGCUAUCCUUUGUUUUGCAAUUCUGCUGUCUGUUAGCUGCUCCUAGUAAUGAAGCUCCUAUUUCACAGUCCUGCAGAUUUGUUUUUAACUCAUUCCAAUGAAGUUUUAUUUGUUUUUGCUUCAAUCUUAAACUGAAUAAUACAGCUCUGAAUAAUAUACUGGCAUAUUAGUAAAGCUUCUAGUUUAUUUUUAA
Alligator mississippiensis (American alligator) is the source of this 9232-nucleotide long non-coding RNA. RefSeq lists it as uncharacterized. The transcript has 11 exons. Lineage: Eukaryota; Metazoa; Chordata; Crocodylia; Alligatoridae. The record is from RefSeq and is a predicted model, not a curated record.